AAACGAACGCUGGCGGCAGGCCUAACACAUGCAAGUCGAACGCUGCAGCAAUGCAGAGUGGCAGACGGGUGAGUAACGCGUGGGAACCUUCCCAAUGGUGCGGAAUAGCUCAGGGAAACUUGAGGUAAUACCGCAUACGCCCGAAAGGGGAAAGAUUUAUCGCCAUUGGAUGGGCCCGCGUCGGAUUAGCUAGUUGGUGGGGUAACGGCUCACCAAGGCUACGAUCCGUAGCUGGUUUGAGAGAAUGACCAGCCACACUGGGACUGAGACACGGCCCAGACUCCUACGGGAGGCAGCAGUGGGGAAUAUUGGACAAUGGGCGCAAGCCUGAUCCAGCCAUGCCGCGUGAGUGACGAAGGCCUUAGGGUUGUAAAGCUCUUUUGGCGGGGACGAUAAUGACGGUACCCGCAGAAUAAGCCCCGGCUAACUUCGUGC
RNAcentral lists this ribosomal RNA (435 nucleotides) under uncultured bacterium. Its description in RNAcentral is "bacterial SSU rRNA". It matches the Rfam family "Bacterial small subunit ribosomal RNA", at positions 29 to 508 of the family's 1533-position model. The record is from RNAcentral.